GAGAGGCAGCUGAAGUUGACAGUCGAGUGUGACAGUAGAAACACUCACAGUCUUGCUUUCUACGCUCCUGUAACUUUAAGGCAAGGGUUUGACCCGUGCUGAAGACCCACUAGGAGGUUUGGAAUGGUGUGACUUAUCAUCAAUGCCUGCAGGUACGCCCUGAAGAAGAUCCGGGCUGCCGUCCGCAGUGAGGAGCAGCCAAAGGCCUCCAGCGGUGCAGAACGUAGCAAGGUCAAAGGGAGGAAGGGGGGCGAUGAGGACGGCGGAGAUGGGCGGGGCUUCAUGCCGGUCCCGUCCUUAGAGGUGGCGGAGCAGGACGAGAUGACGCAGUGCGGCUCCUGAGGUUAAAGGUCGGGGAGGCCAAUCCAUGAGAAGACACACACACACACACAGAUACAUACACCCACACGGACACACUGACACGCGCACGCACACACAAACACAUACACCGACACACACAACGACACACACACACACUUAAACAACGGCCUAUUUCUACCACUUUCACCUACACUAGAAACUCUUCACAGAAGGAUGAAAAUUAACAAAAUGCACGCUGACGACACCACCACCCACCCACCUCUACCUGAUCAGCCUUUGUCCCUCUGGGAUCAGCGGGAUUCACUUCCUGAACAGUUCCCCCACAAUACUCGCUCUCUUCCUCUUGAGGCUCUCACACACACACAUACUGGGAUUUCAUCAGGGUUUCAAACUGAGGCUGUUAACACAAAAGCCUCUUUGUUCGUCAGACAUUUGAGAUAUAUAUUAAGGUCUGCACACACAGACACACACACACACACACACACACACACACACACACAAAGGAACAC
Gadus chalcogrammus (walleye pollock) is the source of this 830-nucleotide long non-coding RNA. RefSeq lists it as uncharacterized. The record is from RefSeq and is a predicted model, not a curated record. Lineage: Eukaryota; Metazoa; Chordata; Actinopteri; Gadiformes; Gadidae. The transcript is spliced from 3 exons.